RNAcentral lists this ribosomal RNA (465 nucleotides) under uncultured bacterium. Its description in RNAcentral is "partial 16S ribosomal RNA". It matches the Rfam family "Bacterial small subunit ribosomal RNA", at positions 338 to 795 of the family's 1533-position model. The record is from RNAcentral.
CCUACGGGUGGCAGCAGUGGGGAAUAUUGCGCAAUGGGCGAAAGCCUGACGCAGCGACGCCGCGUGAGGGAUGAAGGUCCUCGGAUCGUAAACCUCUGUCAGCAGGGAAGAACGGUCACUGUGCUAAUCAGCAGUGAAUUGACGGUACCUGCAAAGGAAGCACCGGCUAACUCCGUGCCAGCAGCCGCGGUAAUACGGGGGGUGCGAGCGUUAAUCGGAAGUACUGGGCGUAAAGCGCUCGUAGGCGGUAUGUCAAGUCAAGGGUGAAAGCCCGGGGCUCAACGUGGGAACUGCCUUUGAAACUGGGAGACUGGAGUGUAGGAGAGGAUAGUGGAAGUCCAGGUGUAGGGGUGAAAUCCGUAGAUAUCUGGAGGAACAUCGGUGGCGAAGGCGACUAUCUGGAACAUAACUGACGCUGAGGAGCGAAAGCGUGGGUAGCAAACAGGAUUAGAUACCCUUGUAGUC